Mastomys coucha (southern multimammate mouse) is the source of this 459-nucleotide long non-coding RNA. RefSeq lists it as uncharacterized. The transcript is spliced from 4 exons. NCBI's taxonomy places the organism in Eukaryota, Metazoa, Chordata, Mammalia, Rodentia, Muridae. The record is from RefSeq and is a predicted model, not a curated record.
CUUCAUUUGAAGGCUUCUAGCAGAAUACUGACUUCCAGGCACCUAGGGACUUGGAACCACCUAUAAGACAAGCUUUGGCUGUGCUUGUGAGAGAUUAUCUAAGAAGAAAGGUCCCAGCCUGGAUGUGGAUGGUGCCAUCCCAUGAGCUAGUAGUCAGACUGAAUGAAAGUGCAAAAAAAGGAAGAACCCUGGCUUCCAAUGCAAAAACAGCCAACCAACCACCACCAACACCACCACCACCAACACCACCACCAACAACAACGACAACAACCAGAUCUCUACUUAAAAAAAGGACACAGGUAACUCUAGGAGGACCAGCUUUAGAAGACUCUACCUUACACAGCAGGACCCCCAAGUAUUGCCAAUCUAUGUGCAAGCCAGUAAGGAACAUCACUCCAUGGCUUCUGCAUCAGCUCCUGCUUUCUGACCUGCUUGAGUUUCAGUCCAGACUUCCUUUGU